This 385-nucleotide ribosomal RNA is filed under the name uncultured bacterium. RNAcentral's name for it is "bacterial SSU rRNA". It matches the Rfam family "Bacterial small subunit ribosomal RNA", at positions 30 to 416 of the family's 1533-position model. The record is from RNAcentral.
AUUGAACGCUGGCGGCAUGCCUUACACAUGCAAGUCGAACGGCAGCGCGGGGCAACCUGGCGGCGAGUGGCGAACGGGUGAGUAAUAUAUCGGAACAUACCCUAGAGUGGGGGAUAACGUAGCGAAAGUUACGCUAAUACCGCAUACGCACUAAGGUGGAAAGUGGGGGAUCUUCGGACCUCAUGCUCAUGGAGUGGCCGAUAUCUGAUUAGCUAGUUGGUGAGGUAAAGGCUCACCAAGGCAACGAUCAGUAGCUGGUUUGAGAGAACGACCAGCCACACUGGAACUGAGACACGGUCCAGACUCCUACGGGAGGCAGCAGUGGGGAAUUUUGGGACAAUGGGGGCAACCCUGAUCCAGCAAUGCCGCGUGAGUGAAGAAGGCC